AGACCACUGACGAGGCAGCAUGUAACCUGCCCUGCUGAGAAAGGUCUGCACCCACCUCCAGCUUCUGCUUGGUGUCAGCGCCCAGCAGGUCACGGACAUCUUCAUUGUAGAUCUCCAGAUAGGAAGCCCGGACCAGGAACUUGGUAUUUUCUGCACACUGCGGGAAGCAGAGCAUGAAAAGACGGCUUGUGCCAAACCCGACUGUUGCUCAGGCCUCUACAGCUGAGACAUCAGAGGGGGAAGGGCCACACGGGCCCUCAUCCCCACCCUACCCUGCCUGCCCUGCUGGCAAACCUUCCUCUCCAGCUCCAGGACCCCCAGAUUCCAAGCUGUGUUAUGGCUAUCUAUCCAAUGUGCUGCCUAGAAACCUCAUGGCAAAGAGGCAGAAACCUCCCUCCCGCGGCCACAGUCCCGGCCAGGGCACCUGGACCAAGCCCUGGCUUUGGGCUGAAGAGUGAGCCUCUGGGGCCACCACAAGCGGGGGCUGUCCAGUCUGGGGUCUGUGAGAUAAGUCUACAGAGGGCUUCAUGCAAGUCUGGUCUUUAGUCAUUGCUCAAGAAAUGCGGGAGCCGUGACUGUUAAAACCACUGCCCGCUGUCAUGUGCAGAGUCAUCAGACAAGAAUGCUAAGGGAAUUUCAACAUUCAAGAAAAAUGUGGAACCGACUUUUCUCAGUUUUGUUUUUCACCCAUGAUUUUUUUAGAGCCCAGGCCCAGGACGUGCCUCUGUUGACCCACGCAGAGUCGAGACCAGGAUCUGACUGCAACUCACGGUCCAUGCCUCUGUCAUAGGUGCCCUGGGGGCCAUCUGGGACACUAGCCUUACCCUUUACAAGUGAGGCCCAUACCUGAACGCUCUCAAACACGUGCUCGAAGGCUCUGGGAAUGAUGCCUCUCUGGCUGGGGGGAUCCGGCAGGCCCUGCAUGGUGAAGGACUUCCCACUGCCUGUCUGGCCGUACGCAAAAAUAGUACCAUUGUAGCCCUCAGUGACACCCUAUGGGAGAGGGAACCAAGGUCAGGUGUUCGGCUGACAGCUCCAGGUGGGUACCAUGGCCUCCAGCCCACAGACUCAGGUGCCCUGCUCGGGUGGCCACUGAACAAGGCACCGCUUUGUUUCAGUCUGAUGGGGUUAAACAUCGUGCCAAGGUGGGCUUAUCUAAAAGCCUGUGCUGGGAGCCAACUUGAUUCAAAUGCUUGUUCAAGUGUAUCUCCAUGCUUGUUUCGUUUCUCCGUGUACUGCUGGAGACAGAACCCAAAAUCUCCUAUACGCUAGGCAAGAGCCCUACCACCAAGCCACACCCUCAGCCUGGCUCUGCUCUUCACCACACGCCUUUGGACUGGUCUUCGGCACAUGGAUUUGCAGUCUCCCUUCCCGUCAUAAAGAGUAAGAACACAGCCCUUCCUAAAGCUGACUCAUCUCGUGUAUUAGGCACGGCAAAUGCAGGCACAGGCAGGUACUUGCGAAAUGUCUGCCGGGAACUUGGGGAGGGCAGACAGUGCUUCUCACCCAGGCCAGGGAGGUGUACACAGGGCAGAGGUCCAGAGAACCAUGAAGGGAGAGAGUCAAAGAAAGGAGGUAGGAAGGUGUGGGAAGAAGCAGCCUCCUCUUCCUUCUGUGUAGCAGAGGCAGGAAGGAAGAGAAGCUGAUGCUGAGGAGACCUGGACAGGUGACAGGAGACUGGCAGGAAGAGGAAGGAGAUCCAGGCCAAAGGCACACAGGAGAGUGGCUGAUAGUAGGUGAAGCCGGGAGUGGGGUAUGGAUGAAGAGGCUGAGAAGGAGAACUAGGUACCACUUCCAAGGCCGUUUUUCACUCACGGCUGCACGCAUUCACCCUGCACAUACUAGCUGUCUUUCCUGAAUCGGGAACCGAGCCAUGUUCUGUGCAGAGGGAGGUGAACAAGGUGGCCACAGCCGUUGGCCUCGGAGUUCUUGGGGUUUACAGAUAGCAGAACUAGCUAUGGGGCAUCUGUGAUGGUGAACAUUGUCAACUUGAUUUAGAGUUACCCUGGAAACAAAUCUCUCGACGUAUCUGUAAGGGGAUAGCUAGGUAGGUUAACUGAGGUGGGAAGAUCAAGGUUAGGUUAACUGAGACGAGAAGAUCCACCCUAUAUAUAGGCAGUACCAUCCCGUGUGCUGGGGUCCCAGGUUGAAUAAAGGAGAAAAGCUGAGCAGCAGAGGCAUUCAUUUCCCGUGCCUCCUGAUUGGAUGAACAUGACAACUGCCUCCUGCUUCUGUCACCAAGCCCUCGCCGUCAUGAGGGAGUGCAUCCUCCACUGUGAACCCAAACAAGCCCUUUCUUCCUUAACCUGCUGCUGCCAGAUUUGUCACUGCCAGACAGGCCCGCUGCUGGCACCCAAGAAGGCCGGUAUCCCAUCAAAGCUCCCCAGCCCUUGCAGAGGACAAGUGCUUCCUUGUCGACAGUGGAAAUGGACGAGUCUAUCCAAUCUAGGGAAACUGCGACCACACCGAGGUCCUGUAGUUCCUUAGAGGGGGUAGGCUGCACACAGCGGUGGGACCUUUAAAAUGGGGACAAGUGACUUCGGUGAGAGAGCGCAUCCCACAUGCAGCUAAAGAGGGAAGCACCUGCCCCCGCUGGAGAAGAUGAAGCAGUUCAAGGACUGUCACUGUAGCCUGAGUCCAGGGAAGGGACUACAGGACCAUUCAGAGUCACAUGGCCGAUGCUCCGUUCUCUUGGGUAGCCACAACCUGUGCUGGUGCCUGUGCAGCCCGAGGGACUGAGUUCAUUGUUUUCACAGGGUCUCACACAUGCUAGGCAAGUGUUCUACCACUGAGCACUUAUUUAGGGUUGUGGAUAGAUCUCUUGCAGCUCAGAAUGACCUCAAAAUAAGUAGUAGCUACUGAUAAGCCUGCUUCUGCCUCCUCAGGAACUAGAAUUACAAGCAGAUGCCACCAUGUACGGUUCUGCUAGAACUGAACCCAGGACUGUGUGCUGAGCAAGCCCUGCACCAACUGGUCACGCCCCCACCCAGCCUCCUCUUUGAUUUGACUGACUGGAUUCUUAUGAUCCUGCUGGCUCUGCCUCUCAAGUGCUGGGAUUAAAGGUGUGUGCCACCACCACCUGUUUUGGCCCUUCAUUUUAAUGACUGGAACUGAGUUGUGCUUUAAAUAUAAAAUACAUACCAGACUUCACA
Non-coding RNA from Myodes glareolus (Bank vole), 3152 nucleotides. The record is from RefSeq and is a predicted model, not a curated record. Lineage: Eukaryota; Metazoa; Chordata; Mammalia; Rodentia; Cricetidae.